Molecule: ribosomal RNA, 1146 nt
Filed under: bacterium
Lineage: Bacteria
Description: bacterial SSU rRNA
Rfam family: Bacterial small subunit ribosomal RNA
Source: RNAcentral
CUAUACAUGCAGUCGAGCGGACCGACGGGAGCUUGCUCCCUUAGGUCAGCGGCGGACGGGUGAGUAACACGUGGGUAACCUGCCUGUAAGACUGGGAUAACUCCGGGAAACCGGGGCUAAUACCGGAUGCUUGAUUGAACCGCAUGGUUCAAUCAUAAAAGGUGGCUUUUAGCUACCACUUGCAGAUGGACCCGCGGCGCAUUAGCUAGUUGGUGAGGUAACGGCUCACCAAGGCGACGAUGCGUAGCCGACCUGAGAGGGUGAUCGGCCACACUGGGACUGAGACACGGCCCAGACUCCUACGGGAGGCAGCAGUAGGGAAUCUUCCGCAAUGGACGAAAGUCUGACGGAGCAACGCCGCGUGAGUGAUGAAGGUUUUCGGAUCGUAAAACUCUGUUGUUAGGGAAGAACAAGUACCGUUCGAAUAGGGCGGCACCUUGACGGUACCUAACCAGAAAGCCACGGCUAACUACGUGCCAGCAGCCGCGGUAAUACGUAGGUGGCAAGCGUUGUCCGGAAUUAUUGGGCGUAAAGCGCGCGCAGGCGGUUUCUUAAGUCUGAUGUGAAAGCCCCCGGCUCAACCGGGGAGGGUCAUUGGAAACUGGGGAACUUGAGUGCAGAAGAGGAGAGUGGAAUUCCACGUGUAGCGGUGAAAUGCGUAGAGAUGUGGAGGAACACCAGUGGCGAAGGCGACUCUCUGGUCUGUAACUGACGCUGAGGCGCGAAAGCGUGGGGAGCGAACAGGAUUAGAUACCCUGGUAGUCCACGCCGUAAACGAUGAGUGCUAAGUGUUAGAGGGUUUCCGCCCUUUAGUGCUGCAGCAAACGCAUUAAGCACUCCGCCUGGGGAGUACGGUCGCAAGACUGAAACUCAAAGGAAUUGACGGGGGCCCGCACAAGCGGUGGAGCAUGUGGUUUAAUUCGAAGCAACGCGAAGAACCUUACCAGGUCUUGACAUCCUCUGACAACCCUAGAGAUAGGGCUUCCCCUUCGGGGGCAGAGUGACAGGUGGUGCAUGGUUGUCGUCAGCUCGUGUCGUGAGAUGUUGGGUUAAGUCCCGCAACGAGCGCAACCCUUGAUCUUAGUUGCCAGCAUUCAGUUGGGCACCCUAAGGUGACUGCCGGUGACAAACCGGAGGAAAGGGGGG